RNAcentral lists this long non-coding RNA (494 nucleotides) under Amborella trichopoda. Its description in RNAcentral is "long non-coding RNA (ATRI_LNC000893)". Lineage: Eukaryota; Viridiplantae; Streptophyta; Magnoliopsida; Amborellales; Amborellaceae. The record is from RNAcentral.
GGUCAUGUUCCUUAUCCACGAAAAUCUUGCUUUGGCACAUGAAGGCUUAGUCCUUUCAUUAAUGGGAUAGGGGCAGAAGCUUCCUCUUCAAUUCAGCAAGGGAAGUCAUCUACUCUGCCACGGCAAAAAUCUAAUGCCAAAUUCAAUACGACUUUCUUCCUUAUUAGAGCACUUAUUACAUAACCAGCUCUCCUUCUCUUAAAAGCCAAAACCAACUCUCUUGGGUUAGCUGAUGGAGACCUAAAGCAGCAGCCUCCUUCUACCCCUAAUUCUGUCUUUUAACAAAGAAUUCGAAAGUGGCCAGUCCGGUAAGGAAAGAGAAGUAGCUUACACACCUAUCCCAAAUUGAUUGGGUUAACCAUGGUAGGGCCCGAAGGGCAACCUGUUCUAUCUCCUAUUUCUCGUCAAUGUCAAACCGUAGAAACAACUCAGUAUUUAUGGAUUCUGUGGAUUGAUUCUUUUCCAACAUCCCUUGCAAAAGUAGGAAUCAAUCU